This 62-nucleotide transfer RNA is filed under the name Craspedonirmus immer. RNAcentral's name for it is "tRNA-Gly". Lineage: Eukaryota; Metazoa; Arthropoda; Insecta; Psocodea; Philopteridae. The record is from RNAcentral.
GCUUUAAGAGUAUGGAAGUAUAUCUAAUUUCCAGUUAGAAGGAUCACGGAAUGAUUAAAGUA